This 153-nucleotide ribosomal RNA is filed under the name Capsicum annuum. RNAcentral's name for it is "5.8S ribosomal RNA". It matches the Rfam family "5.8S ribosomal RNA". Rfam says of the family: 5.8S ribosomal RNA (5.8S rRNA) is a component of the large subunit of the eukaryotic ribosome. It is transcribed by RNA polymerase I as part of the 45S precursor that also contains 18S and 28S rRNA. Lineage: Eukaryota; Viridiplantae; Streptophyta; Magnoliopsida; Solanales; Solanaceae. The record is from Rfam by way of RNAcentral.
UAGUGUAGCCAAAUUCCCUGGCUCUCGCAUCGAUGAAGAACAUAGCAAAAUGUGAUACUUGGUGUGAAUUGCAGAUUCCCAUGAACCAUAGAGUAUUUGAACGCAAGUUACGCCCGAAGCCAUUAGGCCGAGGGCACAUCUGCCUGGGCAUCA